AGAGAGAGAUUUGGGACAAAAUCUAUAUAUAUCAUUCAUUCACAACUAUACAGGUGUAUAUAUAUAUAUGUUACAAAUAGGAAGUUGACUCCUAUUAUACUACUUAAACACAACAACAGAUAACUAUUAUACUUAGGAAGUGUAAUGCUAUUAAACUACUCAAAUAACAGAUAACCUAAGUAGAUAAGGGACAGUCUCAACAGUAAUUGUUGUUACAUUUUAAGAAACUCGUGAUAGGGUGCCAUGGGUUUUCCAACAGCAUAUGGAUAAGAUCCAAAAUCAAUUUAUUGAAUUUGCAAAAAGUCAAUGGGAUGAAGCUGUUGACAAAAAGGUGAUGGAAGAUCUGAAUAUUCCUAAAGAUGAAGAAUCCUAGAUUUUGCUAUGAGAUGAAUUUAGAGAACUUGAAUCCAGAUUAGUCAAAGCCAACUUUGUAAAAGGAUCUAAACAAGUCAAAGAAAGAGAAAUAAAAGACAUUCAAGUUCAAGAAAUUAGGAAACAAAUUGAAGAGCAAUUAGCUCUAAAGUAAUAACUUUUAUAACAUCACAUUGCAAACAG
This 555-nucleotide unclassified non-coding RNA is filed under the name Hevea brasiliensis (rubber tree). The record is from RNAcentral. Lineage: Eukaryota; Viridiplantae; Streptophyta; Magnoliopsida; Malpighiales; Euphorbiaceae.